RNAcentral lists this ribosomal RNA (511 nucleotides) under uncultured bacterium. RNAcentral describes it as "bacterial SSU rRNA". It matches the Rfam family "Bacterial small subunit ribosomal RNA", at positions 43 to 518 of the family's 1533-position model. The record is from RNAcentral.
CGCACAUAAGACAUGCAAGUCGAACGGAAGUCGUUAUAUUGAUUUGAAGAGAACGGAGAACUUGUUCAAAGGGACAUGAUGAAGAUUAUAACAAUGGCUUUAGUGGCGGACUGGUGAGUAAUACGUAAGCAACCUGCCUAUUAGAGGGGAACAACAGUUAGAAAUGACUGCUAAUACCGCAUAUGCCAUAAGUAUCGCAUGAUACAAGUGGGAAAGGAGUAAUCCGCUAAUAGAUGGGCUUACGGCUGAUUAGCUAGUUGGUGUGGUAACGGCAUACCAAGGCGACGAUCAGUAGCCGGACUGAGAGGUUCAACGGCCACAUUGGGACUGAGAUAUGGCCCAGACUCCUACGGGAGGCAGCAGUCGGGAAUUUUGCGCAAUGGAGGAAACUUCUGACGCAGUGACGCCGCGUGCAGGAAGAAGGUUUUCGGAUUGUAAACUGCUUUAGACAGGGAAGAAAAAGGACAGUACCUGUAGAAUAAGCUCCGGCUAACUACGUGCCAGCCGCCGC